Molecule: ribosomal RNA, 500 nt
Filed under: uncultured bacterium
Lineage: Bacteria
Description: partial 16S ribosomal RNA
Rfam family: Bacterial small subunit ribosomal RNA
Source: RNAcentral
AUUGAACGCUGGCGGCAUGCCUUACACAUGCAAGUCGAACGGCAGCACGGGAGCAAUCCUGGUGGCGAGUGGCGAACGGGUGAGUAAUGUAUCGGAACGUGCCCAGUCGUGGGGGAUAACGUAGCGAAAGCUACGCUAAUACCGCAUACGAUCUAUGGAUGAAAGCGGGGGAUCGCAAGACCUCGCGCGAUUGGAGCGGCCGAUAUCAGAUUAGGUAGUUGGUGGGGUAAAGGCCCACCAAGCCUGCGAUCUGUAGCUGGUCUGAGAGGACGACCGGCCACACUCGGACUGAGACACGGCCCAGACUCCUACGGGAGGCAGCAGUGGGUAAUUUUGGAAAAUGGGCGAAAGCCUGAUCCAGCCAUGCCGCGUGCAGGAUGAAGGCCUUCGGGUUGUAAACUGCUUUUGUACGGAACGAAAAGGUUUGGCCUAAUAAGCUGAGCUCAUGACGGUACCGUAAGGAUAAGCACCGGCUAACUACGUGCCAGCCGCCGCGGUAA